GUUGAAACACGGGUUCUUGUAUGAUCACCAAAAUUAAGCAACAUCAAGCCUGGCCAGUACCUAGAUGGGUGACCACUUGGGAAUACCAGGU
Molecule: ribosomal RNA, 91 nt
Filed under: Acanthosepion pharaonis
Lineage: Eukaryota; Metazoa; Mollusca; Cephalopoda; Sepiida; Sepiidae
Source: RNAcentral